RNAcentral lists this transfer RNA (77 nucleotides) under Thermoproteota archaeon. RNAcentral's name for it is "tRNA-Met". It matches the Rfam family "tRNA". From Rfam's summary of the family: Transfer RNA (tRNA) molecules are approximately 80 nucleotides in length. Their secondary structure includes four short double-helical elements and three loops (D, anti-codon, and T loops). Lineage: Archaea; Thermoproteati; Thermoproteota. RNAcentral also lists the same sequence under 2 other names. The record is from RNAcentral.
GCCGGGGUCGCCUAGGGGCCUAGGGCGCCGGACUCAUAGUCCGGUUAUCGCGGGUUCGAAUCCCGCCCCCGGCACCA